RNAcentral lists this ribosomal RNA (438 nucleotides) under Aeromonas caviae. RNAcentral's name for it is "bacterial SSU rRNA". It matches the Rfam family "Bacterial small subunit ribosomal RNA", at positions 54 to 479 of the family's 1533-position model. Lineage: Bacteria; Pseudomonadati; Pseudomonadota; Gammaproteobacteria; Aeromonadales; Aeromonadaceae. The record is from RNAcentral.
CAUGCAAGUCGAGCGGCAGCGGGAAAGUAGCUUGCUACUUUUGCCGGCGAGCGGCGGACGGGUGAGUAAUGCCUGGGAAAUUGCCCAGUCGAGGGGGAUAACAAUUGGAAACGACUGCUAAUACCGCAUACGCCCUACGGGGGAAAGCAGGGGACCUUCGGGCCUUGCGCGAUUGGAUAUGCCCAGGUGGGAUUAGCUAGUUGGUGAGGUAAUGGCUCACCAAGGCGACGAUCCCUAGCUGGUCUGAGAGGAUGAUCAGCCACACUGGAACUGAGACACGGUCCAGACUCCUACGGGAGGCAGCAGUGGGGAAUAUUGCACAAUGGGGGAAACCCUGGUGCAGCCAUGCCGCGUGUGUGAAGAAGGCCUUCGGGUUGUAAAGCACUUUCAGCCAGGAGGAAAGGUUGGCGCCUAAUACGUGUCAACUGUGACGUUACU